GAUGAACGCUGGCGGCGUGCCUAAUACAUGCAAGUCGAGCGAACGGACGAGAAGCUUGCUUCUCUGAUGUUAGCGGCGGACGGGUGAGUAACACGUGGAUAACCUACCUAUAAGACUGGGAUAACUUCGGGAAACCGGAGCUAAUACCGGAUAAUAUUUUGAACCGCAUGGUUCAAAAGUGAAAGACGGUCUUGCUGUCACUUAUAGAUGGAUCCGCGCUGCAUUAGCUAGUUGGUAAGGUAACGGCUUACCAAGGCAACGAUGCAUAGCCGACCUGAGAGGGUGAGCGGCCACACUGGAACUGAGACACGGUCCAGACUCCUACGGGAGGCAGCAGUAGGGAAUCUUCCGCAAUGGGCGAAAGCCUGACGGAGCAACGCCGCGUGAGUGAUGAAGGUCUUCGGAUCGUAAAACUCUGUUAUUAGGGAAGAACAUAUGUGUAAGUAACUGCGCACAUCUUGACGGUACCUAAUCAGAAAGCCACGGCUAACUACGUG
This 497-nucleotide ribosomal RNA is filed under the name uncultured bacterium. RNAcentral's name for it is "partial 16S ribosomal RNA". It matches the Rfam family "Bacterial small subunit ribosomal RNA", at positions 28 to 507 of the family's 1533-position model. The record is from RNAcentral.